Molecule: ribosomal RNA, 1212 nt
Filed under: Salmonella enterica
Lineage: Bacteria; Pseudomonadati; Pseudomonadota; Gammaproteobacteria; Enterobacterales; Enterobacteriaceae
Description: partial 23S ribosomal RNA
Rfam family: Bacterial large subunit ribosomal RNA
Source: RNAcentral
GUUUGCGACGCCCAACACACAAAACAAGCGGUGAGUGCUUUGGGGUGGGGUGACUGCGUACCUUUUGUAUAAUGGGUCAGCGACUUAUAUUCUGUAGCAAGGUUAACCGAAUAGGGGAGCCGGAGGGAAACCGAGUCUUAAUUGGGCGUUAAGUUGCAGGGUAUAGACCCGAAACCCGGUGAUCUAGCCAUGGGCAGGUUGAAGGUUGGGUAACACUAACUGGAGGACCGAACCGACUAAUGUUGAAAAAUUAGCGGAUGACCUGUGGCUGGGGGUGAAAGGCCAAUCAAACCGGGAGAUAGCUGGUUCUCCCCGAAAGCUAUUUAGGUAGCGCCUCGUGAAUUCAUCUCCGGGGGUAGAGCACUGUUUCGGCUAGGGGGCCAUCCCGGCUUACCAACCCGAUGCAAACUGCGAAUACCGGAGAAUGUUAUCACGGGAGACACACGGCGGGUGCUAACGUCCGUCGUGAAGAGGGAAACAACCCAGACCGCCAGCUAAGGUCCCAAAGUCAUGGUUAAGUGGGAAACGAUGUGGGAAGGCCCAGACAGCCAGGAUGUUGGCUUAGAAGCAGCCAUCAUUUAAAGAAAGCGUAAUAGCUCACUGGUCGAGUCGGCCUGCGCGGAAGAUGUAACGGGGCUAAACCAUGCACCGAAGCUGCGGCAGCGACACUGUGUGUUGUUGGGUAGGGGAGCGUUCUGUAAGCCUGCGAAGGUGGCCUGUGAGGGUUGCUGGAGGUAUCAGAAGUGCGAAUGCUGACAUAAGUAACGAUAAAGCGGGUGAAAAGCCCGCUCGCCGGAAGACCAAGGGUUCCUGUCCAACGUUAAUCGGGGCAGGGUGAGUCGACCCCUAAGGCGAGGCCGAAAGGCGUAGUCGAUGGGAAACGGGUUAAUAUUCCCGUACUUGGUGUUACUGCGAAGGGGGGACGGAGAAGGCUAUGUUGGCCGGGCGACGGUUGUCCCGGUUUAAGCGUGUAGGUGUGUGUUCCAGGUAAAUCCGGUUCACUUUAACACUGAGGCGUGAUGACGAGGCACUACGGUGCUGAAGCAACAAAUGCCCUGCUUCCAGGAAAAGCCUCUAAGCAUCAGGUAACAUCAAAUCGUACCCCAAACCGACACAGGUGGUCAGGUAGAGAAUACCAAGGCGCUUGAGAGAACUCGGGUGAAGGAACUAGGCAAAAUGGUGCCGUAACUUCGGGAGAAGGCACGCUGACAC